Molecule: long non-coding RNA, 802 nt
Organism: Pan troglodytes (chimpanzee)
Lineage: Eukaryota; Metazoa; Chordata; Mammalia; Primates; Hominidae
Exons: 2
Source: RefSeq, a predicted model, not a curated record
GCACUCCAGCCUGGGCAACAGAGUGAGACUCUGUCUCAAAAAAUAAAAAUAAAAAUAAAAAAAAGAAAAAUCUUCACUUGGCAACCAUCGUAGUAAUAAUUGAUUUAGGUUGAAACUGGGUGAAGAAACUUUGAUAUGGAACAGGAUAUUUUUAUAGUCUCAGAACAUCUCCCCACGAAAUAUUUAUUCAUUACUCAUCACUUAACAAGUAUUAAAUACUGUUAACUUUCCAGUGGAGAAACCUGGCAGACAUCAUCUUAGCCAAGUGGUAAACAUUAACAUCAGCAGUAAUGGGACAAGUUGACAUUGUGUGACUCCUAAUAUGGUACACUGAGAAGAACAUCGCAUCGUUUCUGUGGUAUUCCUACCAAAGAUGCAUAAAUCAUGAGGAAACAGCAGACAAAUCCAAACUGAAGACAACCUACAAAGUCAUUGACCUGUAUUUUUCAAAAAUCAUGGCCAGAGAAGGGAAGCCUGAAGAAUUGUUCUAGGAUAAAUUAGACUGAAGAGACUCCUUGGAGGCGACUGAAUUGGAUCCUGGGCCUGUAAAGUGCUCCCCGUUGGUCAAGCCCAAUCAGAAGCUGGAGAGUAGGAAGUCCAUUUCCUGCAGCUUAUAAAGGUUGGCUUCCAGGAACACAGAACAAGAUGGAGAAGAAUAAAUAAUGGAUCUGGAGGAGAAAACAGAGAACACUGGAGUAGUAUUAAAUCUGGAAGAAAAAUUAUUGGAUUGUCUAAUAAAUUUUACAAAAAAUGUAGUUAUUUGAUAACAAAAGUAAACCAUAUAAUAAACUUUUAAAUUUUU